Molecule: ribosomal RNA, 478 nt
Filed under: uncultured bacterium
Lineage: Bacteria
Description: partial 16S ribosomal RNA
Rfam family: Bacterial small subunit ribosomal RNA
Source: RNAcentral
GACGAACGCUGGCGGCGUGCUUAACACAUGCAAGUCGAACGGUAAGGCCCUUCGGGGUACACGAGUGGCGAACGGGUGAGUAACACGUGGGUGAUCUGCCCUGCACUUCGGGAUAAGCCUGGGAAACUGGGUCUAAUACCGGAUAGGACCCUGGGAUGCAUGUCCUGGGGUGGAAAGCUUUUGGGGUGUGGGAUGGGCCCGCGGCCUAACAGCUUGUUGUUGCGGUGAUGGCCUACCAAGGCGACGACGGGUAGCCGGCCUGAGAGGGUGACCGGCGAAACUGGGAAUGGGAGACGGCCCAGACUCCUACGAGAGACAGCAGUGGGGAAUAUUGCACAAUGGGCGAGAGCCUGGUGCAGCGAAGCCGCGUGGGGGAUGACGGCCUUCGGGUUGUAAACCUCUUUCAGCACCGACGAAGCGCAAGUGACGGUAGAUGCAGAAGAAGGACCGGCCAACUACGUGCCAGCCGCCGCGGUAA